AACGAACGCUGGCGGCAUGCCUAACACAUGCAAGUCGAACGAGACCUUCGGGUCUAGUUGCGCACGGGUGCGUAACGCGUGGUAACCUGCCCUUAGGUUCGGAAUAACUCCCCGAAAGGUGUGCUAAUACCGGAUAAUGUCUUCGGACCAAAGAUUUAUCGCCUUUGGAUGGGCCCGCGUUGGAUUAGCUAGUUGGUAGGGUAAAAGCCUACCAAGGCGACGAUCCAUAGCUGGUCUGAGAGGAUGAUCAGCCACACUGGGACUGAGACACGGCCCAGACUCCUACGGGAGGCAGCAGUGGGGAAUAUUGGACAAUGGGCGAAAGCCUGAUCCAGCAAUGCCGCGUGAGUGAUGAAGGCCUUAGGGUUGUAAAGCUGUUUUACCCGGGAUGAUAAUGACAGUAACGGGAGAAUAAGCUCCGGCUAACUCCGUG
RNAcentral lists this ribosomal RNA (433 nucleotides) under uncultured bacterium. RNAcentral describes it as "partial 16S ribosomal RNA". It matches the Rfam family "Bacterial small subunit ribosomal RNA", at positions 29 to 507 of the family's 1533-position model. The record is from RNAcentral.